Molecule: ribosomal RNA, 252 nt
Filed under: uncultured bacterium
Lineage: Bacteria
Description: partial 16S ribosomal RNA
Rfam family: Bacterial small subunit ribosomal RNA
Source: RNAcentral
GCAAGUCGAACGGUAACAGGAACUAGCUUGCUAGUUUGCUGACGAGUGGCGCACGGGUGAGUAAUAUAUAGAUAAUGUGCCCCUUAGUCUGGGAUAGCCACUGGAAACGGUGAUUAAUACUAGAUACUCCUUCUAAUCUUAAGAUUAGUUGGGAAAGUUUUUCGCUAAGGGAUCGGUCUAUAUCCUAUCAGCUUGUUGGUGAGGUAAGAGCUCACCAAGGCAAUGACGGGUAGCGGGUUUGAGAGGAUGAUC